GACGAACGCUGGCGGCGUGCCUAAUACAUGCAAGUUGAGCGCUGAAGGUUGGUACUUGUACCCACUGGAUGAGCAGCGAACGGGUGAGUAACGCGUGGGGAAUCUGCCUUUGAGCGGGGGACAACAUUUGGAAACGAAUGCUAAUACCGCAUAAAAACUUUAAACACAAGUUUUAAGUUUGAAAGAUGCAAUUGCAUCACUCAAAGAUGAUCCCGCGUUGUAUUAGCUAGUUGGUGAGGUAAAGGCUCACCAAGGCGAUGAUACAUAGCCGACCUGAGAGGGUGAUCGGCCACAUUGGGACUGAGACACGGCCCAAACUCCUACGGGAGGCAGCAGUAGGGAAUCUUCGGAAAUGGACGAAAGUCUGACCGAGCAACGCCGCGUGAGUGAAGAAGGUUUUCGGAUCGUAAAACUCUGUUGGUAGAGAAGAACGUUGGUGAGAGUGGAAAGCUCAUCAAGUGACGGUAACUACCCAGAAAGGGACGGCUAACUACGUG
Molecule: ribosomal RNA, 497 nt
Filed under: uncultured bacterium
Lineage: Bacteria
Description: partial 16S ribosomal RNA
Rfam family: Bacterial small subunit ribosomal RNA
Source: RNAcentral